UUCCCUGUAGCUCAGUUGGUAGAGCAUGGCACUUGCAAUGUCAGGGUUGUGGGUUUGAUUCCCACGGGGGACC
This 73-nucleotide transfer RNA is filed under the name Salmo salar (Atlantic salmon). It matches the Rfam family "tRNA". From Rfam's summary of the family: Transfer RNA (tRNA) molecules are approximately 80 nucleotides in length. Their secondary structure includes four short double-helical elements and three loops (D, anti-codon, and T loops). Lineage: Eukaryota; Metazoa; Chordata; Actinopteri; Salmoniformes; Salmonidae. The record is from Rfam by way of RNAcentral.